UUCAGAUUUGACUUAGUGGCGGACGGGUGAGUAAUGCAUGAGCAACCUGCCCUGCAGUGGGGGACAACAGUUGGAAACGACUGCUAAUACCGCAUGAUGUAUCUGGAAGGCAUCUUCCGGAUACCAAAGAUUUAUCGCUGUGGGAUGGGCUCAUGUCUGAUUAGGUAGUUGGUGAGGUAACGGCCCACCAAGCCGACGAUCGGUAGCCGACCUGAGAGGGUGAUCGGCCACAUUGGGACUGAGACACGGCCCAAACUCC
This 259-nucleotide ribosomal RNA is filed under the name uncultured bacterium. RNAcentral describes it as "partial 16S ribosomal RNA". It matches the Rfam family "Bacterial small subunit ribosomal RNA", at positions 80 to 339 of the family's 1533-position model. The record is from RNAcentral.